UACAUUAUUGCCCUCUGAUAUUUUCCUUUGCGUUUUGUUCUUGUGUGUUUGUGUUUGGUUCAUCGGUUCUCCGACUUUCACUCAUUCAUGUUCUGGUUAGGGCUAGGUCCUCCGGCUUUUGCUCUCUAAAUUGGUACUUCGUUUCCGGAUUUCACUGUAUUUUUGUACUUUUUGAACCGAUUAAUCUGUCCAACCUCAUCAUCACGGCACUGUUGUUACGGCACUGUGCAAAUAGUUGCCCACAUCAAUACCGGAAAUCCAGGUCCUUGAACGGCGCCGAAUAAAAUUUCCAUUGCCCUCUAUUUCUUUCACACAAUCACUAUCUAUCUUCCUCUUGCUUGCCACAUUUGUUUUCCUCAACGCACUACGCUAGCCAGACCUCAAGAUGCCAAUCCGAAGUUGGGCGGAUUUGUUCAGCUUUUCAAUCUGAAACCACUAUUGUAAUUGUUAUUUCAAGCUUCAAACCAAACGCAGGAUUUGUCAUGGCUUAAUUACUGUGUUGGUUAGGGCUACAACAAAGCAGCUUCGUGAUUCGGUGGUUUAAAUUUGCUAUGGCUAUGAGGAUUGAAGAUCAGUUGGCUUCUACUUGCCACAAUUUUGUGCAUAUUCUACGCGUUCGAGAUGGAUACUUUCUUAUCAAUGAAAGGAACAAAGGUACAAAAGUGGGACAAGCAAUGCGUGAGGAUCAUAGCAUACGGUAUUCCGCUGAUUGGACUUUCAUCAAGAGGUACUCAGGUGCUCGGAUUGGAGAGGUGAAGAGGGUUACAAAAGAGACCAAUGUAGCAAUGAGACUAAACUUGGAUGGUUCGGGCAUAGCUGAUACACUGGGAUCCUUUUUCUUGACCACAUGUCGUUGGACGUCAAUAUCUCUCUCAUGAAUGACUUUUUUCUUUUUGAUCCGCUCUCAUGAAUGACUAUUUUCAAUUUCUAUGGUGAUGUCUGUUUUGAUGAUAUAUUUUUUUCCUGAGAGUUUUGAACUUUUAACUCUAUUUCAGUGGCAGGAUGCAUUCUUUAGGCAAUUUAAGUAAGUUGCAAACAUAAUUGUCAAAGGUGCGCCUAGACACAAGGUGAGGCGAUCUGAAAAAAGCAAGCAAAAAGUGACAAGGUGAGAAAAGCAAGCUUCUUUCAAAUAAAUCAAAAAAGCGCACUUUUUUCCAAAAAAACGCAUGAAAAACGAGGUUUUUUUUUCUUUCCAAAAAAGUGCACAUUACACAAUUAUUUUCAGAAAUAAUUUAUUUUUCCGCAUAGGUGCGCCUCUCUUCAAAUAGGCAUGCGCCUCACCUUGCUCCUCUCGCCCUAGGCCCAAUAAAACUUUGCUCCUUGGUGCGCCUUUCGUCCUUGACAACUAUGGUUGCAGAUAUUAAUUUCCACAGGAUAAGUGAAGGAUAAUGCUAUAUUUGGUUGUUUAGAAAGUUUAGGAGGGAGCUAAGAGAAGAUACAUUUCCAUUCAAUGUAGCCUUAUUCAAAGAUUUGGUCUAAAAUGUCUCCGACCCAGUCAUGUCCUCGUUGCUGAGGAUUUAGAAUCAACUUGCUUAGCAUGGGUUAUUUGACGUUCAUGUAAAGGCUACUGGUGACAUUCAUAUUGAUGACCAUCACACAAAUGAAGAUGUUGCCAUUGACAUUGGAACGGUACUUGAAAACUGGAAAGCAGCGCACUCAUACAUGUAUACGAGUUCGAGUCUUAGAACUUAACUUUUUGGUUCAUCCAGGCUUUGCAACACGGACUUGGUGAUAGAAAAGGAAUUAACCAGAUUGCUUAAAGAGCUUGUAUUGAACCAACCUGAAGCAUACGAGAUUAAGAUAGGAGAUCAAGUUUUUCGACGACGAGGAAAUCCUCCUUUUGAACUACUUCUCGAGAAGCACCAAAAUGACACAGACAGUGGAUAAUGCCAGUCCCAUAGAGGACAAUGGAUACCAGAAAGAUGAGUUGUAGAUUGCUUGAAAUCCUUUUAGCAUCCAAAUCAAGAGAUCUGAAGGAUUAUUUUGUGCAGUUCAUCUUUUUGAUAAUACUGGUUUUCAUUCCUUUCUAAUCAUCGUCAUGAAAUCGAUACUUCAAUUUCAAGAGUUUCUUAGAGAGUAUUAAGUCAUUGGAUUUUGUUUCUGUGUUCUGGUCUUCGUUAAGUAUGGCUCCAUUCGGUCCAUUUGAUUAUUUUUCAAAUUAUAUUUCUAUAAUGGAAUAGUUCAUGUGUAGUCAUAUAAAUAGAUUACAUUAUGAUUCAUUAUAUUUCAAUAAGCUCUUGCUAUUUUUCUAUUAUCAUCACUGCAAAACC
Rhododendron vialii is the source of this 2270-nucleotide long non-coding RNA. RefSeq lists it as uncharacterized. Lineage: Eukaryota; Viridiplantae; Streptophyta; Magnoliopsida; Ericales; Ericaceae. The record is from RefSeq and is a predicted model, not a curated record. The transcript is spliced from 6 exons.